RNAcentral lists this non-coding RNA (311 nucleotides) under Sphaeroforma arctica JP610. RNAcentral describes it as "Bacterial large subunit ribosomal RNA". It matches the Rfam family "Bacterial large subunit ribosomal RNA", at positions 2223 to 2539 of the family's 2925-position model. Lineage: Eukaryota; Ichthyosporea; Ichthyophonida. The record is from Rfam by way of RNAcentral.
CCCUGCGGGAUCUGACGGGAUCCUUUAUGUAGGUCAGUUUGUCUGGGGCGGAGCUCGUCUAAAAGGAAACGAAGUGGUAAAUAUGGCAGGCUUCAGCGGGUUAGAAACCAGCAUUAAAACGUAAGAGCACAUGCCAGCCUCAAUAUGAGACUUACUAGUCGAACAGAUACGAAAAAAAGGUUCUAAUGAACUGCUAAUUUAAGUGGUUUAGUUAGCGAUCAACGAAUAAAAGUAACAUUAGGGAUAACAGGCUAGUCACGGCCAAGAGUCCACAUCUACGCCGUGGUUCGGCACCUUACUAUAUCGGGGUU